This 457-nucleotide ribosomal RNA is filed under the name uncultured bacterium. RNAcentral describes it as "bacterial SSU rRNA". It matches the Rfam family "Bacterial small subunit ribosomal RNA", at positions 343 to 791 of the family's 1533-position model. The record is from RNAcentral.
AGGAGGCAGCAGUGAGGAAUCUUCCGCAAUGGACGAAAGUCUGACGGAGCAACGCCGCGUGAGCGAUGAAGGCCUUCGGGUCGUAAAGCUCUGUUGUUAGGGAAGAAUAAGUGCUAGUUGAAUAAGCUGGCACCUUGACGGUACCUAACCAGAAAGCCACGGCUAACUACGUGCCAGCAGCCGCGGUAAUACGUAGGUGGCAAGCGUUGUCCGGAAUUAUUGGGCGUAAAGCGCGCGCAGGCGGUUUCUUAAGUCUGAUGUGAAAGCCCCCGGCUCAACCGGGGAGGGUCAUUGGAAACUGGGAAACUUGAGUGCAGAAGAGGAAAGUGGAAUUCCAAGUGUAGCGGUGAAAUGCGUAGAGAUUUGGAGGAACACCAGUGGCGAAGGCGACUUUCUGGUCUGUAACUGACGCUGAGGCGCGAAAGCGUGGGGAGCAAACAGGAUUAGAUACCCCGGU